RNAcentral lists this ribosomal RNA (408 nucleotides) under uncultured bacterium. RNAcentral's name for it is "partial 16S ribosomal RNA". It matches the Rfam family "Bacterial small subunit ribosomal RNA", at positions 28 to 526 of the family's 1533-position model. The record is from RNAcentral.
GACGAACGCUGGCGGCGUGCUUAACACAUGCAAGUCGAACGAAGUGGCGAACGGGUGAGUAACGCGUAAUCAACCUGCCCUUCAGAGGGGGACAACAGUUGGAAACGACUCCUAAUACCGCAUACUGAAGGAGGGGAUUGCGUCUGAUUAGCUCGUUGGAGGGGUAACGGCCCACCAAGGCGAUGAUGAGUAGCCGGGCUGGGAGGAUGAACGGCCACAUUGGGACUGAGACACGGCCCAGACCCCUACGGGAGGCAGCAGUGGGGAAUCUUCCGCAAUGGAGGAAAGUCUGACGGAGCAACGCCGCGGGAGUGAUGACGGCUUUCGGGUUGUAAAGCUCUGUUAAGCGGGACGCGGUACCGGAAGAGAAAGCAACGGCUAACUACGUGCCAGCAGCCGCGGUAAUUC